Molecule: ribosomal RNA, 668 nt
Filed under: uncultured archaeon
Lineage: Archaea
Description: bacterial SSU rRNA
Rfam family: Archaeal small subunit ribosomal RNA
Source: RNAcentral
UACGGGGUGCAGCAGGCGCGCAAACUUUACAAUGCGAGCAAUCGUGAUAAGGAAACCCUGAGUGCCUGUCGAUGCAGGCUGUUCAUAUAUCUAAAUCAUAUGUGAAGAAAGGGCAGGGCAAGACCGGUGCCAGCCGCCGCGGUAAUACCGGCUGCUCGAGUGAUGGCCACUAUUACUGGGUUUAAAGCGUCCGUAGCUUGACUGUUAGGUCUCUCGGGAAAUCUUCACGCUCAGCGUGAAGGCGUCUAAGAGAUACCGGCAGUCUUGGAACUGGGAGAGGUAAACCGUACUUCGGGGGUAGGAGUGAAAUCUUGUAAUCCUCGAGGGACGACCUAUGGCGAAGGCAGUUUACCAGAACAGCUUCGACAGUGAGGGACGAAAGCUGGGGGAGCAAACGGGAUUAGAUACCCCGGUAGUCCCAGCCGUAAACAAUGUGCGUUAGGUGUGUCGGUAACCACGUGUUACUGAUGCGCCGAAGAGAAAUCGUGAAACGCACCACCUGGGAAGUACGGUCGCAAGGCUGAAACUUAAAGGAAUUGGCGGGGGAGCACCACAACAGGUGGAGCCUGCGGUUUAAUUGGAUUCAACGCCGGACAUCUCACCGGAUAAGACAGCUGAAUGAUUGUCAAUCUGAAGGUUUUACAUGACUAGCUGAGAGGAAGUGCAUG